This 79-nucleotide transfer RNA is filed under the name Glionnetia sericea. RNAcentral's name for it is "tRNA-Leu". The record is from RNAcentral. Lineage: Eukaryota; Viridiplantae; Streptophyta; Magnoliopsida; Gentianales; Rubiaceae.
GUUCUAACUAAUGAGACAUUCUCCGCUUUCAUUCAUAAGAUGUAAUGCAAAGGUUCAGAAAGUGAAAAAGGGAUAGGUG